This 5304-nucleotide long non-coding RNA is filed under the name Sus scrofa (pig). Its description in RNAcentral is "lncRNA (ENSSSCG00005012376.1)". Lineage: Eukaryota; Metazoa; Chordata; Mammalia; Artiodactyla; Suidae. The record is from RNAcentral.
UUUUUUUUUUUUUUAGAUUCCACAUACAGGUGAUAUCAUAUGAUGUCUAACUUCACUUAGUAUGAUUAUUUCUAGGUCAAUCCAUGUUGUUGCAAAUGGCAUUAUUUCAUUCUUUUUUUCUGGCUGGGUAAUAUUCCAUUGUAUAUAUGUACCACAUUUUCUUUAUCCAUUCCUCUGUUGAUGGACAUUUAGGUUGCUUCCAUGUCUUGGCUAUUGUAUAUUGUGCUGCAAUGAACAUCAGGGUGCAUAUAUUUUUUGAAUUAUGGGUUUCUCUGGAAAGAUGCCCAAGAGUGGGAUUGUUGGGUUAUAUGGUAGAGAAAUGCAAAUCAAAACUGCCAUGAGGUACCACCUUAAACUGGCCAGAAUGGCCAUCAUCAAAAAGGCUACAAAUAACAAAUGCUGAAGAGGGUGUGGAGAAAAGGGAACCCUCAGACACUGUUGGUAGGAAUAUAAAUUGGUAUAACCACUAUGGAAAACAGUAGAGAGCUUCCUAAAAAAUUUUAAAGUAGAAAUUCUUCCAUUUUUAUUUGUUUACUUACUUAUAGCACACCUCGCCACCUGUGGCAAAGUGGGGUCCUGGGACCUUUUCUGUUUGCCUUCCUGCUACAUCCUUAGUGACUAGAAUAGAGCAGUGCACAUUUUUGGAAAAAAUGUAGAUUAGGCAAGAGCCAAAUUAGUGCCUUUCAUGAGACCAGUUUCAAAAACAACCAAAAAACCCAAGGUUAAAGCCAAACUGCAUCAAGUUAUGGAGAGGAAAAGGAGACAGGAGUUUGAGAUAAAGGUAUUCAACCCACACAGCACACACCCUGAGGGGGAGAAAUUGUUGAUAACAGAAUCUCCAUAUAUCACACCUUCUAGAAGAGCUACCUUUCCAGAAUGUGAAGAUAAAACAUUUUCACUGGCUCACAUCUUAUUUCUUCUACUGAGAGUUCUCCCAAAGAAAAAUCUAACCCACACCCAUCAUGCCUAAAAUGCUUGCUUAACAUCGUAAUACACUUUUUAAAAAAAAAUCAGGUAGAACAAAAAUGUCAAUUACUGUAAGUUCUAUGCUAUAUAUAUAUAUAUAUAUGUAUGUAUGUGUGUGUGCAUAUAUGUAUGUAUGUGUGUGUGUGUGUGUGUGUACUUUAAGAACAUGUCACACUUAGGUACUCACAGCCCCCAGUGUACACUAGCAGAGAAAUUCCUUCAAAGAUGUCAAGUACCAGAGCUCAUUCUUCCUGCAGUUUCCUGUGGUUGUACAUGUCACCUUCAGGCCUUGCUUUCAGAAGUCUGUCAUCUCAGAAUGACAGAGGGGGCAUCACAAAGUACCAUUGUGCUGAGAGGAAGAGUAGUGUUUCUUUAAGAAUCUGGAGGGGGGUGAAGCUAAGGGAGGAUUUAUAUAACAUCUCUAAGUCAAAGGCUUUGCUAGAGUCUAAGAAGUCGUUUUUUUCCCCUCUGCUCCUGCCAGAUCCAUCCAGCACUUCUCCUGCAGCAGCUGAGGAGCCCAAGGCUUCACAGGAGCUGACAUCUUGUGGCUGCUGGCCAGGCAGGGCAAAGCAGUUACCAUGGUUCUCCUGCUCUGUGGCUAGAACAAUACACUACUUUGGAAUUUGUUUGCCCCUUCCUUAAGGAAAACAGAGCAACGGCAAAAAGAUAAAAGCGGGAGCAAGCAGAGAAAGACUAGGUAGGAAAAGGUCAAAUUAAGUGGGUAGCAAGAGCCACCAAGUUCAGCCAGCCCAGCUCAAACGAUGAUGGAGGAGGCCGCCCAACAGGGAGCAAUUAGUUGAGACAUUCAUGCUGCCAUGUUUAAGUCAAAGCACAGGUAAUGGUAGUAUAAACUGCUAAAAAACAAACCUACACAAAGUAAACGUGUGAUCUAGAAAUUUGUUUCAGGCAAAAGUCUCUUCUGAGUCCAUUCUCAAAGCCACAAGUGACAUGUGCUAAAAGACCCCCUUGGCCUGUGCCCUGACACCUGAACUAGUGAGAUUUGUAUUAAGUUGAGUUUGAGAGCUUGAUGGCACAAAUGACCAUCAAUUACUAGGCCCAGCUUUUUGUGAGCAAGUGAGCUUUAGAAGGUCAGGGCUCACCUAAUUUAGUUACAAGGAGCGUUCUCUAGCAGGACAAAACAAGUGUUUUGAGAAAAGGGAGAUAAUUUAAUUGAAGGUCCAAGAAGCAGCAGCAUUCUUCACGUUGUCAAGCUCAAAGGGAGACUUCGGAGUGGGUACAUAGCCGAUGAGGAAAGGAAGGUGCAGUUCCAGUGCAGCAGAGGUCAUUUCAAUUAGUCAGUGAGGGUGGGAAAAUCCCAGGCUUAUUGUGGAUCCACUAUUAACAAACUUCCUGAGCUAAAAAAUUUUACAGCUUCUAAUAUAGCAUUUACAAAUCCUGAGUGUCAAACCACCUGAGUUAACACAGCCAAAUAAGUGACUCUCCCUCUCAUCUGAAUGUUCUCAUCUGCAAAGAACGGUAGCCAGGCAAAGGUCUCUAAGGUGGCUUCACAGACUAAGAUUCCAAGUUGAUGGUCAAGAGAGGCUGGUCACAGACGGCCCAUUGGGGAAUUGAGAGCCACGAUCACAGAAGGGGCAGCAUCUGGAGGACAGGAUUUCCUUCAACAGGAACCAGAGGCCAGAAGGAAUCUGUGGGAGUCAGGAAGGAGGCGUCCGCCAGGUGAGCGCAGAACAAAGCAACUUAUGCUUUAUGCCUCCAUAGGAAACUGCCUCCCUGGGCCGGUCCUAGGGUCCUCCCUCCAGAAGGCUGGGACCUAGGGGAGUGUGCUGAGCUAAGGAUUCAAGGAUGCUGUUAUCAAGCCCCAGAAAUAGAGGUUGAAUGGGGGAGGUUGAACUCAGCCACCUGAAGCGCUGAUUGGAUCACCAAACAUCAGAUUACAUCUUCAAUUAUACACAAGGAGCCUAACAGCAACCGGUAAACCUGGGACCAAACUCAGCAGGACACUGCAACUCAGAAUAAAAGAAUAGCAAGCAAAAUACUAAGGGCAUAGGGAAGCCACUUAGAUCCAACUGGCAACAAGCUACUGAAGCUAAAACCCCAUCGUCCAAAUGGUUAUACAAUUCGCAGCCUCCAAAGAACUGAUUACUCUUCUGGGUCACUUGCUAAAAUUAACACAUCUAAAGGGUGGGAGAGAGCAAGAGCUCACGCAAAUUUUCAAAGACACACCCUCUGCAGAUGUUAUAAAAGUUUCCAUGGAUUAGAUGGGCAUAUUAGCCAGAAUUUGAGAAACAGCAAAAAUAAAUCAUCAUGGGGAAAGAAAAAAAGUUCGUAACAAGGGAAUUUUUUGAACUUUUAUAAAAUUUAACAUUCAAAAUUUAACAUGAUACCUUUCUUUGCCCAGUUAAACUGAGUAUAUAACCUUCAACUUCAUAAUUAUCACAGCUGUUAGGGCAAAAGAACUAGAUAUUAAAUAUUUCUAAAAGUUGCUGGAUAAAAUGUGAACUGUUAUACCUCAUCUUCAAGGAAGUCAUUAAAAUUUGAAGUAUGUUCAUCCCUCAUCCAGAAAUUCCACCCUUUGGAAUCUAUGUCAUAAAGAUGAAAGUAUCAAUAAAAAAGGACAUGUGGACAAGGACGUCUAGUGAGUACUCAUCCACAGGGAAGUGGCUUGAUCCACAUCCAUUUAUUUAUUUAUUUAUUGUCUUUUUGCUAUUUCUUGGGCCGCUCCUGUGGCAUAUGGAGGUUCCCAGGCUAGGGGUCAAAUCGGAGCUGUAGCCACCAGCCUACACCAGAGCAACAGCAACGCGGGAUCCCAGCCGCGUCUGCAACCCACACCACAGUUCACGGCAAUGCCAGAUCGUUAACCCACUGAGCAAGGGCAGGGACCGAACCCGCAACCUCAUGGUUCCUAGUGGGAUUCGUUAACCACUGCGCCAUGACAGGAACUCCCCACAUCCAUUUAUUAAAGGACUUUUUAAAUGACUUUAUUAAAGCUUGUGUGUGUGCAUGUAUGUGUAGGGUUGUAUGAGUACAGAAAAAUGUGUAAGUAUGUACACCAGAUCAAUGAUUCUCAAACAUUAGCACACGUCAGAAUCACAUGAAGGUUUUGUUAAAGCCAGUAUGUGGGCCUCUCCCUCAGAGUGUCUGAUUCAGUAGGUCUGUGGACAUGUCUGAAAAUUUGUAUUUCCAAUAAGUUUCAAGAGGAUGCUAAUGCUGCUGAGAACAACUACAAUAGAUCUGUGCAAGAUAACAUAAACAUCUUUUCUAUAUGAUUCUUUUUACGGAUCGUGUGUGUGCGCGCGCAUACAUGUGCGUGCAAGCGCGUGCACAGAUAUGCAAAAAUAAAUUCCUGAAAGGACUGUCUUCAAAAUAUUAAUGAAAACUCUUCCAAAGGUAGAAUUUGAAGUGAUCUUUACUUUCCUCUUGGUAAUUUCUCUUUCUUUUUUUAUUUUUGCAUUUUAGGGCCGCACUUGUGGCAUACGGAGGUUCCCAGCCUAGGGGGCGAAUCAGAGCUGUAGCCACCUGCUUGCCACAGCCACAAUAACACCAGAUCCUUAACCCACUGAGGGAGCCCAGGAAUCCAACCCGCAUCCUCAUGGAUGCUAAUCAGGUUGAUUAACUACUGAGCCAUGACAGGAACGCCUCUUAUUUUUCUUAUAAUGAGCAAGUGUUAUUUAAAUAAUCAUUUAAAAUAAAGCUAUUUUAUUGAGAAAAAAAGAACCUUUGGAAACCAACAAUUUCUCAAGCAAAAGCUCUUCUGUUUUAUUCACAGCACUGAACUGACAUUUUUGGGAAGAUGAAUGCUAGUUACACUUAAUAUAAAAAUAAAAGUGUAAUUAAUAUGGAAAAGGAAGUUCUGGGAUGAAGUACAUAAGCAUAGUAUGUGUUUUAUAAACUUCCUUAAUCCACAAAAAUUUAAAGAAAACUCACUUUAAAAAGUAAUCAAAAAAUAACCUAUAAUGGAAUAUAAUUUGCAAAAAAAAAAAAAAAAAACCUGAAUCAGCAUGCUGUAUAUCUGCAACGAACACACUGUUGUAACUCUACUUCAAUUUAAAAAAAAAAUCCACCAGCAAAAACAUAUAAUUUGACUUGUGAAUGUACAAUCACUUUCUCUUUCAAAAUUCAAUCAGCUAUUCAGUAAGCAAAAUCUCUCCUUUUAAGCUGUACUUGCAUCAUUUCCUCUCUUUAUACGCAGACUAGAAAAGAAAAAUAAGACUAAAAAUAAACUGAAAUAAAAAAUAACCUGGGUGAGGGGGGAGGGACUGGGAGUUUGGGGUUAGUAGAUGCAAACUAUUGCAUCUGGAGUGGAUAAGCAAUGAGAUUCUGCCGUAUAGCCCAAAGAACUAUAGCUGAUCACUUGUGAUGGAAUAUGAUGGAGGAUAU